Molecule: ribosomal RNA, 253 nt
Filed under: uncultured bacterium
Lineage: Bacteria
Description: partial 16S ribosomal RNA
Rfam family: Bacterial small subunit ribosomal RNA
Source: RNAcentral
UACAGAGGGUGCGAGCGUUAAUCGGAAUUACUGGGCGUAAAGCGCACGUAGGUGGCGACGUAAGUCGGGUGUGAAAGCCCCGGGCUCAACCCGGGAAUUGCAUUCGAGACUGCAUUGCUGGAGUACGGAAGAGGAGGGCGGAAUUCCCGGUGUAGCGGUGAAAUGCGUAGAUAUCUGGAGGAACACCGGUGGCGAAGGCGGCAUCCUGGACCGAGAUUGACGCUGAGGCGCGAAAGCCAGGGGAGCAAACAGG